RNAcentral lists this ribosomal RNA (719 nucleotides) under Holarchaea sp. New Zealand. RNAcentral describes it as "SSU rRNA". It matches the Rfam family "Eukaryotic small subunit ribosomal RNA", at positions 407 to 1130 of the family's 1831-position model. The record is from RNAcentral. Lineage: Eukaryota; Metazoa; Arthropoda; Arachnida; Araneae; Anapidae.
CUACCACAUCCAAGGAAGGCAGCAGGCGCGCAAAUUACCCACUCCCAGAACGGGGAGGUAGUGACGAAAAAUAACAAUACGGGACUCUUUUGAGACCCCGUAAUUGGAAUGAGUACACUCUAAAUCCUUUCACGAGGAUCUAUUCGAGGAUAAGUCUGGUGCCAGCACCCGCGGUAAUUCCAGCUCGGAUAGCGUAUAUUAAAGUUGUUGCGGUUAAAAAGCUCGUAGUUGGAUCUCAGUUCCAGACGGGUGGUCCGCCUACCGGCGGCUACUGCCUGUUCUGAACAACCAGCCGGUUUCUCUUGAUGAUCUUCACCGGUUGUCUUGGGUGACCGGCACGUUUACUUUGAAAAAAUUAGAGUGCUCAAAGCAGGCGUGACGCCUGAAUAAUGGUGCAUGGAAUAAUGAAAUAGGAUCUCGGUUCUAUUUUGUUGGUUUUCGGACCACGAGAUAAUGAUUAAGAGGGACAGACGGGGGCAUUCGUAUUGCGACGCUAGAGGUGAAAUUCUUGGACCGUCGCAAGACGAACUACUGCGAAAGCAUUUGCCAAGAAUGUUUCCAUUAAUCAAGAACGAAAGUUAGAGGAUCGAAGGCGAUCAGAUACCGCCCUAGUUCUAACCAUAAACGAUGCCAGCCAGCGAUCCGGCUGUGUUCCUCAAAUGACACGCCGGGCAGCUUCCGGGAAACCAAAGCUUUUGGGUUCCGGGGGAAGUAUGGUU